GACGAAUGCUGGCGGCGUGCUUAACACAUGCAAGUCGAACGGAAAGGCACUGCUUUUGUGGGGUGAUCGAGUGGCGAACGGGUGAGUAACACGUGAGUAACCUGACCUUGACUUUGGGAUAACUUCAGGAAACUGGGGCUAAUCCCGGAUAGGAGCUCCCGCUGCAUGGUGGGGGUUGGAAAGUUUCGGCGGUUGGGGAUGGACUCGCGGCUUAUCAGCUUGUUGGUGGGGUAGUGGCUUACCAAGGCUUUGACGGGUAGCCGGCCUGAGAGGGUGACCGGCCACAUUGGGACUGAGAUACGGCCCAGACUCCUACGGGAGGCAGCAGUGGGGAAUAUUGCACAAUGGGCGGAAGCCUGAGGCAGCAACGCCGCGGUCGGGAUGACGGCCUUCGGGUUGUGAACCGCUUUCGCCUGUGACGAAGCGUGAGUGACGGUAAUGGGUAAAGAAGCACCGGCUAACUACGUG
RNAcentral lists this ribosomal RNA (468 nucleotides) under uncultured bacterium. RNAcentral's name for it is "partial 16S ribosomal RNA". It matches the Rfam family "Bacterial small subunit ribosomal RNA", at positions 28 to 507 of the family's 1533-position model. The record is from RNAcentral.